This 66-nucleotide transfer RNA is filed under the name Tropostreptus kipunji. Its description in RNAcentral is "tRNA-Pro". Lineage: Eukaryota; Metazoa; Arthropoda; Diplopoda; Spirostreptida; Spirostreptidae. RNAcentral also lists the same sequence under 2 other names. The record is from RNAcentral.
CAAAAAAUAGUUUAAUUAAAAUUUUAACUUUGGAAGUUAUAGACGGGACAACAACCCCUUUUUUGA